UGGGGAAUAUUGGACAAUGGGCGAAAGCCUGAUCCAGCAAUGCCGCGUGAGUGAUGAAGGCCUUAGGGUUGUAAAGCUCUUUUACCCGGGAUGAUAAUGACAGUACCGGGAGAAUAAGCCCCGGCUAACUUCGUGCCAGCAGCCGCGGUAAUACGAAGGGGGCUAGCGCUACUCGGAAUCACUGGGCGUAAAGGGCGCGUAGGCGGCCAUUCAAGUCGGGGGUGAAAGCCUGUGGCUCAACCACAGAAUUGCCUUCGAUACUGUUUGGCUUGAGUAUGGUAGAGGUUGGUGGAACUGCGAGUGUAGAGGUGAAAUUCGUAGACAUUCGCAAGAACACCAGUGGCGAAGGCGGCCAACUGGACCAUUACUGACGCUGAGGCGCGAAAGCGUGGGGAGCAAA
Molecule: ribosomal RNA, 400 nt
Filed under: uncultured bacterium
Lineage: Bacteria
Description: bacterial SSU rRNA
Rfam family: Bacterial small subunit ribosomal RNA
Source: RNAcentral